RNAcentral lists this ribosomal RNA (253 nucleotides) under uncultured bacterium. RNAcentral describes it as "partial 16S ribosomal RNA". It matches the Rfam family "Bacterial small subunit ribosomal RNA", at positions 524 to 776 of the family's 1533-position model. The record is from RNAcentral.
UACGGAGGGUGCAAGCGUUAUCCGGAUUCACUGGGUUUAAAGGGUGCGUAGGCGGGUAUGUAAGUCUGUGGUGAAAUCUCCGAGCUUAACUCGGAAACUGCCAUGGGUACUGCGUAUCUUGAAUGUUGUGGAGGUGAGCGGAAUAUGUCAUGUAGCGGUGAAAUGCUUAGAUAUGACAUAGAACACCAAUUGCGAAGGCAGCUCACUACACAAAUAUUGACGCUGAGGCACGAAAGCGUGGGGAUCAAACAGG